CCCUCGUCUGCCGGAGCCCGCGCGUCCCGCCGCCCGACUUCGCCGCCGCCUGGAGCCGGCUGGCCGCGACCUCAGCCGCCCGCCGCCCGCCGGGGAGUCCUGCGUAUGGAAACUCACAUGAGUCAGCUCAGUCUAGAAGGGCAGUAAUUUCUCAUAAUAUGGAUAAAGCUCUGAAGGAAGUGUUCGACUACAGUUAUAGAGAUUACAUUCUGUCCUGGUAUGGAAACCUCAGCAGAGACGAGGGACAACUUUACCAUCUGCUCUUGGAAGACUUCUGGGAAAUUGCCAGACAGCUGCACCACAGACUGAGUCACGUGGAUGUGGUUAGAGUUGUCUGCAAUGAUGUUGUGAGGACUUUGCUCACUCAUUUCUGUGACCUGAAAGCUGCUAAUGCCAGACAUGAAGAACAGCCAAGACCUUUUGUGUUGCACACAUGCUUGAGGAACUCAGAUGAUGAAUCUUGAAGCCGGUAGUGGAGUUACUGAGUAAUCCAGAUUACAUUAACCAAAUGCUGCUUG
Molecule: small RNA, 518 nt
Filed under: Pongo abelii (Sumatran orangutan)
Lineage: Eukaryota; Metazoa; Chordata; Mammalia; Primates; Hominidae
Description: processed transcript
Source: RNAcentral